This 498-nucleotide ribosomal RNA is filed under the name uncultured bacterium. RNAcentral's name for it is "bacterial SSU rRNA". It matches the Rfam family "Bacterial small subunit ribosomal RNA", at positions 903 to 1397 of the family's 1533-position model. The record is from RNAcentral.
AAAGGAAUUGACGGGGGCCCGCACAAGCGGUGGAGUAUGUGGUUUAAUUCGACGCAACGCGAAGAACCUUACCAGGGCUUGACAUCCUCUGAAGGGUGUAGAGAUACAUCUAUUAAUCUUCGGAUUAACAGAGAGACAGGUGGUGCAUGGUUGUCGUCAGCUCGUGUCGUGAGAUGUUGGGUUAAGUCCCGCAACGAGCGCAACCCUUAUUUCUAGUUGCCAGCAUGUAAGAUGGGCACUCUAGAGAGACUGCCGGUGACAAACCGGAGGAAGGUGGGGAUGACGUCAAAUCAUCAUGCCCUUUAUGUCCUGGGCUACACACGUACUACAAUGGCCUGUACAAAGGGUUGCGAAGCCGCGAGGUGAAGCUAAUCCCAAAAAGCAGGUCUCAGUUCGGAUUGCAGGCUGCAACUCGCCUGCAUGAAGUCGGAAUCGCUAGUAAUCGCGGAUCAGCAUGCCGCGGUGAAUACGUUCCCGGGCCUUGUACACACCGCCCGU